UCAAACUUGGUCAUUUAGAGGAAGUAAAAGUCGUAACAAGGUUUCCGUAGGUAGGUUAAAGUUCCCCCCCCGGUCACUAGGCCCCUUUUAACUAAGGACCCUAAUGACAUUCCCCUUAUUACCCUUUCGUGACACGUCGCUAACAUACGUCUUAUAGGUGAACCUGCGGAAGGAUCAUUAAAGAGUUAGGGUCCCCUGGGCCCGACCUCCCAACCCUUUGUUUACUGAACCUCUGUUGCUUCGGCGGACCCGUCUCACGACCGCCGGAGGACCGCUCCCUCGGGCGUCCUCUGGCCAGCGUCCGCCGAUAGCCAACCCUUCAAAACUUCUGAAUAAAUCAUGCUCUAUGUCUAAGUCCUAUGAUGCAAAUCAAUAAAGCAAAACUUUCAACAACGGAUCUCUUGGUUCUGGCAUCGAUGAAGAACGCAGC
Molecule: unclassified non-coding RNA, 430 nt
Filed under: uncultured fungus
Lineage: Eukaryota; Fungi
Description: partial contains small subunit ribosomal RNA, internal transcribed spacer 1, and 5.8S ribosomal RNA
Rfam family: 5.8S ribosomal RNA (bases 382-430)
Source: RNAcentral